Molecule: unclassified non-coding RNA, 207 nt
Filed under: Hevea brasiliensis (rubber tree)
Lineage: Eukaryota; Viridiplantae; Streptophyta; Magnoliopsida; Malpighiales; Euphorbiaceae
Source: RNAcentral
UUUUCUUUCAAACUGAUAAGAGAUUCACAGCAUUUGAUGACAGAAAUAAUAUUUCACAACAGGAAAGAAGCAGCAUUAGAUCUUAUGUAUCUCCAUUGUUCAUAUUAUUGUUGUUCUCAUUUCAAUGUCGAAAAUAUAUAAGGCACCAUUUUUUACUGUUUCAAACAGUUUUAUGAGUUUAGUCUCUUAUCCCGCUGUCAAUUGUUG